UACGUAGGGACCAAGCGUUGUUCGGAUUUACUGGGCGUAAAGGGCGCGUAGGCGGCAAUUCAAGUCAGUUGUGAAAUCUCCGAGCUUAACUCGGAACGGUCAACUGAUACUGCUUUGCUAGAGUGCAGAAAGGGCAACCGGAAUUCUUGGUGUAGCGGUGAAAUGCGUAGAUAUCAAGAGGAACACCUGAGGCGAAGGCGGGUUGCUAGGCUGACACUGACGCUGAAGCGCGAAAGCUAGGGUAGCAAACGGG
RNAcentral lists this ribosomal RNA (253 nucleotides) under uncultured bacterium. RNAcentral describes it as "partial 16S ribosomal RNA". It matches the Rfam family "Bacterial small subunit ribosomal RNA", at positions 524 to 776 of the family's 1533-position model. The record is from RNAcentral.